GAAACUUCUUCUGAUUCUGUUUUUUGGACGCUAAAGGAGGAGUAUUUACCGCCUGGUUGGCUCUGUCUGGUAUGUGGUGCAUCUGACAAUCAAGAACUUCCUCCAAAUUUUAUAAAGCUCAAAAGAGAUGUAUACACACCAGAUGUGAUGGCAGCAUGUGACUAUAUGAUCGGAAAGAUUGGGUAUGGAACAGUAAGUGAGGCUCUGUCAUACA
Molecule: long non-coding RNA, 214 nt
Organism: Papaver somniferum (opium poppy)
Lineage: Eukaryota; Viridiplantae; Streptophyta; Magnoliopsida; Ranunculales; Papaveraceae
Exons: 3
Source: RefSeq, a predicted model, not a curated record